CCUACGGGAGGCAGCAGUGAGGAAUAUUGGUCAAUGGGCGCGAGCCUGAACCAGCCAAGUCGCGUGAGGGAGGACUGCCCUACGGGUUGUAAACCUCUUUUGCCGGGGAGCAACGGGCGCCACGUGUGGCGCCACUGAGAGUACCCGGAGAAAAAGCAUCGGCUAACUCCGUGCCAGCAGCCGCGGUAAUACGGAGGAUGCGAGCGUUAUCCGGAUUUAUUGGGUUUAAAGGGUGCGUAGGCGGAAUGUUAAGUCAGCGGUAAAAUCGAGGGGCUCAACCACUUCCCGCCAUUGAAACUGGCGCUCUUGAGUGGAAGAGAAGUAUGCGGAAUGCGUGGUGUAGCGGUGAAAUGCAUAGAUAUCACGCAGAACCCCGAUUGCGAAGGCAGCAUGCCGGCUUCCGACUGACGCUGAAGCACGAAAGCGUGGGGAUCGAACAGGAUUAGAUACCCCUGUAGUC
This 460-nucleotide ribosomal RNA is filed under the name uncultured bacterium. RNAcentral describes it as "partial 16S ribosomal RNA". It matches the Rfam family "Bacterial small subunit ribosomal RNA", at positions 338 to 795 of the family's 1533-position model. The record is from RNAcentral.